GAUGAACGCUGGCGGCGUGCUUAACACAUGCAAGUCGAACGGAAAGGCCCAAGCUUGCUUGGGUACUCGAGUGGCGAACGGGUGAGUAACACGUGGGGGAUCUGCCCUGCACUUCGGGAUAAGCCUGGGAAACUGGGUCUAAUACCGGAUAGGACCACGUCUUGGCAGUUGUGGUGGAAAGAUUUUUCGGUGUGGGAUGAGCUCGCGCCCUGUCAGCUUGUUGGUGGGGUAAGGGCCAACCAAGGCGUCGCCGGGUAGCCGGCCUGCGAGGGGGUAGGGCGAACUUGGGACUGAGGAACGGCACACACCCCUGACGGAGGCGGCAGUGGGGAAUAGUGAACAAUGGGCGCAGGCCUGAUGCCGGGUGGCGGGGUGGGGGGUGAAGGAAGACGGGUUGUAAAUUGCUUUCGCUAGGGGUGAAGCGUUUUGUGGAGGUACCUGGAGAAGAAGGAGCCGGUAACUAAGUG
Molecule: ribosomal RNA, 467 nt
Filed under: uncultured bacterium
Lineage: Bacteria
Description: partial 16S ribosomal RNA
Rfam family: Bacterial small subunit ribosomal RNA
Source: RNAcentral